Molecule: long non-coding RNA, 714 nt
Filed under: Homo sapiens (human)
Lineage: Eukaryota; Metazoa; Chordata; Mammalia; Primates; Hominidae
Description: HSALNT0402532
Source: RNAcentral
UGCAUUUGGCGGGAUCUGUGUCUCUCGCUGGUGCUGGCACAGGAGCUUGGGAUCUGUCUCCUCUUUCGCCUCCUGCACCUUGAGAGCCCUGGGCUACUCUGUCACAGCCCCUGUUGCCCUGCGAUCUGUAGGUCCUUGGGGACGCAUAGUUAAGGUGCCAGGACAUCCUGGAAGCUGGGAAAUGAUUUCUUCCAGACCAUGGCUGGAGAAGGAAAGAAGGUGUGUUUUGCCUGAUUCAGGGACUAUAGAGAGAACCAAGUUCUGCAGGCCUGUCAUCUAAGUCUCAGCUGGGUGUCACAAACUCUGAACUGGAUUCCAAGGCUUUCAUGAAUGCACUUAUGUUUGCUGUGGCAGCUGCAUUAUGUCGUGGGGGAUGUGGAUGCAGAACCUCCCAUUCUGUCGUCUUGCUUAUGUUACUCUCCUUUAUGUUUCACUUUCUCAAAUGAAUGUCAAGCAGGUGAUUUUCAGAUUCAAAAGUUCUAAAAUAAAUUGCUCAAAUUUACACAUUAUGUAAGCUGUUAAUAAAAUUUCUUGUAGGUGCUACAUAUUUAUUAAAAUUUUUGGUUGUAAUUUUAAGCUCACUGUAGGCAGAAAGGAAUCAUUAAGAUUUCUAUUCUUUUUUAGUCUGUAUCUAAAUGACCAUAUAUUUUAAUUCCAAAUAUUUACUUUAUACUUCAGUAAUGCUCAUUGUAUUUUGCAAAAUUUAUAUUGUUC